UUAUCUUUAUAUUUACAAAAACAAACAUUAUGUACACGCGUACACUAACAUUAUGUGCACAUAUACAUGCGUACACUAACAUUAUGUACACAUCUACGUAGUCAUCCAAUGUAUCCUUGUACAGGAACAUGUGUACACUAGCAUUAUGUACACAUCCGCGUGGUCAUCAAUUAUUUUUUUUAAUGAGUGGCAAUUUUGUAAUAACUUCAUCUUCUUCCUAUUAGGAUUUUCUGUGUUUCCUGCAAAUAUAACUCACAACCGCCAUUGAUUUUUAUCAUGCAAUUUUCAUUGUUUUUGUGUUUUACCUCUAGAACUUAUACAUAUUAUAUAGAUUAAUAGAUUAGAACCCAAAACCAAAAAAAAUAUAUAUAUAAAAAUUAGUUUCUCCGAUAGCUCUCUAUCACGUCCUCUAUCUCUGUUGUUUCAUCCUCCAACCUAAAAAAAAUUGUAAGCAACUAUUUUCUAAAGAUUCAAAUUCCUCCAACAAAAGUUAGAAAUUCAAAAUACAAUAUUUUUUCAUACGCUUGGUAAUUCCUAAAUUCUCUUUCAUUAGGUCCACUCACUCAUUUUAAAAUUUAAAAACGUAACCAGAAAACUAAAAACCCUUUUCCAAUUUUACCCCACCAGUUACACCUUUUUCAGGGACAAGUUAAGACAUUUCACUCAGAAACUGUCCAAGUAGCAAUAAUUGCCUUAUUGUGAUAUUGAAACUUGUAAACUGCCCUGCAGUGUAAAUCACUCUUCGAACAAAUGGUACUAUUAUUUAAAUAACUGAAUAUUUUUAGUAUCCAUCUUCAAUUAAUAUUAUCUAUCAAAAAAGAUGAAUCAACAUAUAUGUUUAACUUGUCAAUUGUAAGAUGACUAUGAAAAUUUAUAUCCCGUCGAGGAUAUUCGCACAAGAUCUUAUUACCAUGUAGACCAGAAGCUAAACAGCUUUGCGUCUUGUUCGAAUAUCUUCCAAAAAGCUGCUGUUUCUUACAAUCUGUAAAUAAAGAAAUUAAAAAGCUAUUAGAUGCUAAUUAAUCAUCAUUGUCAUGUCUAAUCAAAGCAUGAGAUUAUACCAUAAACAGAUCAAGAACAAGAAGUUGUCGUUUUAACAAUCUAGAAAUAAAGAGAUUAAAAAGCUAUUAGAUGCUAAUUGAACAUCAUUUUCAGGCCUGGACAAAGCGGUGGAUUAUACCAUAAACAGAUCAAGAACACGAGCUUGUGUCUUGUUCGUGCAAAACGCUGCGUUUAUAUAAUCAACGAAUUAAAAAAGCUAUUAGAUGCUAAUUAAUCACCAUUGUGGGGCCUAAUCAAAGCAUGAGAUUAUACCAUAAACCGAUCAAAAACACAUAAAGAUUUACCGUUAAAGAUCUUGUAUUGAUCAAACACAGUUGUGUAAAAAAGACAAUAAAAUACAGAGAUAUCGACGGAACUCACCGUCGUUUCUUUAUCUUUAAACCGGUGGAAGUUUGUGUAUUGCGGUCAAACCGGUUAAUGGAGAGCUGGCGAAGAUGAUGGAGAAGAUAAUUGAGAAACGAAAGAGACUCGGAACUCUUUCAAAAAUUGGCAGCAUUCGAGAGAAUGAUUCAGAGAGAUGAAGAAAAAGAAAAUAAAAUAUUUAUCACAAGGAGAGAGACAAAAUGUUAGUGUUAGAGUAGAUAGGGUACCGGUUGUAUCCGUAUUCCACCUUUUUUU
RNAcentral lists this long non-coding RNA (1680 nucleotides) under Brassica rapa (field mustard). RNAcentral's name for it is "long non-coding RNA (BRAP_LNC000602)". Lineage: Eukaryota; Viridiplantae; Streptophyta; Magnoliopsida; Brassicales; Brassicaceae. The record is from RNAcentral.